This 253-nucleotide unclassified non-coding RNA is filed under the name uncultured Rickettsiales bacterium. RNAcentral describes it as "contains 16S-23S intergenic spacer region". It matches the Rfam family "Bacterial small subunit ribosomal RNA", at positions 524 to 776 of the family's 1533-position model. Lineage: Bacteria; Pseudomonadati; Pseudomonadota; Alphaproteobacteria; Rickettsiales. The record is from RNAcentral.
UACGGAGGGUGCUAGCGUUGUUCGGAAUUACUGGGCGUAAAGAGUGCGUAGGCGGUCUUACAAGUUGGGAGUGAAAUCCCGGGGCUCAACCCCGGAAUUGCUUUCAAAACUGUAAGACUUGAGUAUGGUAGGGGAUAGUGGAAUUCUUAGUGUAGGGGUGAAAUCCGUAGAUAUUAAGAGGAACACUAGAGGCGAAGGCGACUAUCUGGGCCAUUACUGACGCUAAGGUACGAAAGCGUGGGGAGCGAACGGG